CCUACGGGAGGCAGCAGUGGGGAAUAUUGCACAAUGGGGGAAACCCUGAUGCAGCGACGCCGCGUGAGUGAAGAAGUAUUUCGGUAUGUAAAGCUCUAUCAGCAGGGAAGAAAUAGCGACCUUUGGGUCGCCAGACGGUACCUGACUAAGAAGCCCCGGCUAACUACGUGCCAGCAGCCGCGGUAAUACGUAGGGGGCAAGUGUUAUCCGGAUUUACUGGGUGUAAAGGGAGCGUAGACGGCAGCACAAGUCUGAAGUGAAAUGCCGGGGCUUAACCCCGGAACUGCUUUGGAAACUGUGCAGCUAGAGUGCAGGAGAGGUAAGUGGAAUUCCUGGUGUAGCGGUGAAAUGCGUAGAUAUCAGGAGGAACACCGGUGGCGAAGGCGGCUUACUGGACCAUAACUGACGUUGAGGCUCGAAAGCGUGGGGAGCGAACAGGAUUAGAUACCCUUGUAGUC
RNAcentral lists this ribosomal RNA (458 nucleotides) under uncultured bacterium. RNAcentral describes it as "partial 16S ribosomal RNA". It matches the Rfam family "Bacterial small subunit ribosomal RNA", at positions 338 to 795 of the family's 1533-position model. The record is from RNAcentral.